UUUCUCUGUGCUCUUUAGAAAACCGUCAAUAAAGGUAACCAUCUUUUUGGGUGCCUGGGCAUGAUCAUUGCCCCAGAGUUUUAACAUAAGUCUCUACUAAAGUAUCCUGAUUUGCAAGAACUCAAAUGAUGCUGUUUUUGGACAGGGAGGUCAUGGGCCAAGUACAGAUGCGCAAAAGGAUGGAAUUAAGGUCUUACCUGAAUUCAGCUCCUUCCUCCAGUAUCUUGCUAAACAUCACCGACAACAUCCAAUUACACUGAUGAUAAUCUGUUUUUUACCCCAUUCUCUACAGCUGCAGCCUCCACUGGACUGGAAUUUGCCUUCCUAGUUCUUGAGUUGUCUUAGGCACUGCAUAAUAUG
Molecule: long non-coding RNA, 360 nt
Organism: Symphalangus syndactylus (siamang)
Lineage: Eukaryota; Metazoa; Chordata; Mammalia; Primates; Hylobatidae
Source: RefSeq, a predicted model, not a curated record